Molecule: ribosomal RNA, 495 nt
Filed under: uncultured bacterium
Lineage: Bacteria
Description: partial 16S ribosomal RNA
Rfam family: Bacterial small subunit ribosomal RNA
Source: RNAcentral
GACGAACGCUGGCGGCGUGCCUAAUACAUGCAAGUCGAACGCUGAAGGAGGAGCUUGCUUCUCUGGAUGAGUUGCGAACGGGUGAGUAACGCGUAGGUAACCUGCCUGGUAGCGGGGGAUAACUAUUGGAAACGAUAGCUAAUACCGCAUAAGAGUAGAUGUUGCAUGACAUUUACUUAAAAGGUGCAAUUGCAUCACUACCAGAUGGACCUGCGUUGUAUUAGCUAGUUGGUGAGGUAACGGCUCACCAAGGCAACGAUACAUAGCCGACCUGAGAGGGUGAUCGGCCACACUGGGACUGAGACACGGCCCAGACUCCUACGGGAGGCAGCAGUAGGGAAUCUUCGGCAAUGGACGGAAGUCUGACCGAGCAACGCCGCGUGAGUGAAGAAGGUUGUCGGAUCGUAAAGCUCUGUUGUAAGAGAAGAACGAGUGUGAGAGUGGAAAGUUCACACUGUGACGGUAUCUUACCAGAAAGGGACGGCUAACUACGUG